RNAcentral lists this ribosomal RNA (898 nucleotides) under Ophiostoma tapionis. Its description in RNAcentral is "LSU rRNA". It matches the Rfam family "Eukaryotic large subunit ribosomal RNA", at positions 38 to 966 of the family's 3401-position model. Lineage: Eukaryota; Fungi; Ascomycota; Sordariomycetes; Ophiostomatales; Ophiostomataceae. The record is from RNAcentral.
GCAUAUCAAUAAGCGGAGGAAAAGAAACCAACAGGGAUUGCCCCAGUAACGGCGAGUGAAGCGGCAACAGCUCAAAUUUGAAAUCUGGCCUUCGGGUCCGAGUUGUAAUUUGGAGAGGAUGCUUCUGGCGCGGCGCCGUCCGAGUUCCUUGGAACAGGACGCCAUAGAGGGUGAGAGCCCCGUACGGGCGGCCGCCUAGCCUUUGUGAAGCUCCUUCGACGAGUCGAGUAGUUUGGGAAUGCUGCUCAAAAUGGGAGGUAAAUUUCUUCUAAAGCUAAAUACCGGCCAGAGACCGAUAGCGCACAAGUAGAGUGAUCGAAAGAUGAAAAGCACUUUGAAAAGAGGGUUAAAAAGUACGUGAAAUUGUUGAAAGGGAAGCGCCUGUGACCAGACUUGCGGCCCGCGGAUCAUCCGGUGUUCUUCACCGGUGCACUCCGCGGGCUGCAGGCCAGCAUCGGUUUUCCUAGGGGGACAAAGGUCGCGGGAACGUAGCUCUUUCGGGAGUGUUAUAGCCCGUGGCGUCAUGCCUCUGGGGGGACCGAGGACCGCGCUUCGGCAAGGAUGCUGGCGUAAUGGUCACCGGCGACCCGUCUUGAAACACGGACCAAGGAGUCAAGCAUUGGGGCGAGUGUCUGGGUGCCAAACCCGCACGCGAAAUGAAAGUAAACGCAGGUGAGAGCUUCGGCGCAUCACCGACCGAUCCUGAUGUCUUCGGAUGGAUUUGAGUAAGAGCCUUACCGCUUGGACCCGAAAGAUGGUGAACUAUGCCUGUAUAGGGUGAAGCCAGAGGAAACUCUGGUGGAGGCUCGCAGCGGUUCUGACGUGCAAAUCGAUCGUCAAAUAUGGGCAUGGGGGCGAAAGACUAAUCGAACCAUCUAGUAGCUGGUUACCGCCGAAG